This 189-nucleotide ribosomal RNA is filed under the name Rhizobium leguminosarum. Its description in RNAcentral is "partial 16S ribosomal RNA". It matches the Rfam family "Bacterial small subunit ribosomal RNA", at positions 1351 to 1533 of the family's 1533-position model. Lineage: Bacteria; Pseudomonadati; Pseudomonadota; Alphaproteobacteria; Hyphomicrobiales; Rhizobiaceae. The record is from RNAcentral.
AGCAUGCCGCGGUGAAUACGUUCCCGGGCCUUGUACACACCGCCCGUCACACCAUGGUAGUUGGUUUUACCCGAAGGGAGUGCGCUAACCGCAAGGAGGCAGCUAACCACGGUAGGGUCAGCGACUGGGGUGAAGUCGUAACAAGGUAGCCGUAGGGGAACCUGCGGCUGGAUCACCUCCUUUCUAAGG